AGAUGUGAGGGCAAUCUGGCUGUGACAUCUGUCACCCCAUUGACCACCAGGGUUGACUCAGCUGAUCUGGCUGUCUAGAUGGGUGCCCCUUGCUCCCUCACCACUCCAUGUGCAUCCCAAAACUGUAUGCUCAGUCGAAGAGGACCACCAUCCCCGGUAGAGGAGAACCUUUCUUCGGUCAAGGGUAUACGAGUAGCUGCGCUCCCCUGGCUAGAACCUUCAAAACAAACUCUCUCUCACUCAUAUCUGUCUCUCUUUGGCAAACACUUACAUCUUUCUGGCAAAUCAGAUAAAUUUUUUUUU
This 303-nucleotide small RNA is filed under the name Tupaia belangeri (northern tree shrew). RNAcentral describes it as "7SK RNA (ENSTBEG00000020363.1)". It matches the Rfam family "7SK RNA", at positions 1 to 250 of the family's 331-position model. From Rfam's summary of the family: 7SK was discovered as an abundant small nuclear RNA in the mid-70s but a possible function has only recently been suggested. Two independent studies have found that 7SK RNA binds the CDK9/cyclin T complex (known as elongation factor P-TEFb). The record is from RNAcentral. Lineage: Eukaryota; Metazoa; Chordata; Mammalia; Scandentia; Tupaiidae.